GGGCCAAUCGUAUAGUGGCUUAUUAUGCUGUCUUAGGGCAAUCGCCUUGAUACCGGAGGUCGCACUAGGUUGACAGAGGUCCCCGGUUCGAUUCCGGGUUGGCCCC
Molecule: transfer RNA, 106 nt
Filed under: Sporisorium scitamineum
Lineage: Eukaryota; Fungi; Basidiomycota; Ustilaginomycetes; Ustilaginales; Ustilaginaceae
Description: transfer RNA-Pseudo(AGG)
Source: RNAcentral